GAUGAACGCUGGCGGCGUGCCUAAUACAUGCAAGUCGAGCGAACAGACGAGGAGCUUGCUCCUCUGACGUUAGCGGCGGACGGGUGAGUAACACGUGGAUAACCUACCUAUAAGACUGGGAUAACUUCGGGAAACCGGAGCUAAUACCGGAUAACAUGUUGAACCGCAUGGUUCAACAGUGAAAGACGGUCUUGCUGUCACUUAUAGAUGGAUCCGCGCCGCAUUAGCUAGUUGGUAAGGUAACGGCUUACCAAGGCAACGAUGCGUAGCCGACCUGAGAGGGUGAUCGGCCACACUGGAACUGAGACACGGUCCAGACUCCUACGGGAGGCAGCAGUAGGGAAUCUUCCGCAAUGGGAGAAAGCCUGACGGAGCAACGCCGCGUGAGUGAAGAAGGUCUUCGGAUCGUAAAACUCUGUUAUUAGGGAAGAACAAAUGUGUAAGUAACUAUGCACGUCUUGACGGUACCUAAUCAGAAAGCCACGGCUAACUACGUG
This 497-nucleotide ribosomal RNA is filed under the name uncultured bacterium. Its description in RNAcentral is "partial 16S ribosomal RNA". It matches the Rfam family "Bacterial small subunit ribosomal RNA", at positions 28 to 507 of the family's 1533-position model. The record is from RNAcentral.